AUUGAACGCUGGCGGCAGGCCUAACACAUGCAAGUCGAGCGGAUGAAGGGAGCUUGCUCCUGGAUUCAGCGGCGGACGGGUGAGUAAUGCCUAGGAAUCUGCCUGGUAGUGGGGGAUAACGUCCGGAAACGGGCGCUAAUACCGCAUACGUCCUGAGGGAGAAAGUGGGGGAUCUUCGGACCUCACGCUAUCAGAUGAGCCUAGGUCGGAUUAGCUAGUUGGUGGGGUAAAGGCCUACCAAGGCGACGAUCCGUAACUGGUCUGAGAGGAUGAUCAGUCACACUGUAACUGAGACACGGUCCAGACACCGGCGGGAGGAAGCAGUGGGGAAUAUUGGACAAUGGGCGAAAGCCUGAUCCAGCCAUGCCGCGUGUGUGAAGAAGGUCUUCGGAUUGGAAAGCACUUUAAGUUGGGAGGAAGGGCAGUAAGUUAAUACCUUGCUGUUUUGACGUUACCAACAGAAUAAGCACCGGCUAACUUCGUG
RNAcentral lists this ribosomal RNA (484 nucleotides) under uncultured bacterium. RNAcentral describes it as "partial 16S ribosomal RNA". It matches the Rfam family "Bacterial small subunit ribosomal RNA", at positions 30 to 507 of the family's 1533-position model. The record is from RNAcentral.